RNAcentral lists this ribosomal RNA (233 nucleotides) under uncultured bacterium. RNAcentral describes it as "partial 16S ribosomal RNA". It matches the Rfam family "Bacterial small subunit ribosomal RNA", at positions 544 to 776 of the family's 1533-position model. The record is from RNAcentral.
UUCGGAAUUAUUGGGCGUAAAGGGUGCGUAGGCGGUUUUGUAAGGCUUAUGUGAAAUCUACAGGCUCAACUUGUAGUCUGCAUGAGAAACUGCCGGGCUUGAGUAUGGGAGAGGUGAGUGGAAUUCCUGGUGUAGCGGUGAAAUGCGUAGAUAUCAGGAGGAACACCUGUGGCGAAAGCGGCUCACUGGACCAUAACUGACGCUGAUGCACGAAAGCUAGGGGAGCAAACAGG